UACGUAGGGGGCGAGCGUUGUCCGGAGUUACUGGGCGUAAAGCGCGUUCAGGCGGUUUGGCAAGUCGGGCAUGAAAUCCUUCGGCUCAACCGGGGGAGGUUGUCCGAUACUGCUGAACUGGAGGGCAGUAGAGGGUGGUGGAAUUCCGGGUGUAGUGGUGAAAUGCGUAGAGAUCCGGAGGAACACCAGUGGCGAAAGCGGCCACCUGGACUGCACCUGACGCUGAAACGCGAAAGCUAGGGGAGCGAACGGG
Molecule: ribosomal RNA, 253 nt
Filed under: uncultured bacterium
Lineage: Bacteria
Description: partial 16S ribosomal RNA
Rfam family: Bacterial small subunit ribosomal RNA
Source: RNAcentral